Molecule: non-coding RNA, 117 nt
Filed under: Pan troglodytes (chimpanzee)
Lineage: Eukaryota; Metazoa; Chordata; Mammalia; Primates; Hominidae
Also listed under: 1 other name
Source: Rfam by way of RNAcentral
GCCGGGCACAGUGGCUCAUGCCUGUAAUCCCAGCACUUUGGGAGGCUGAGGCGGGUGGAUCACCUGAGGUCAGGAGUUCGAGACCAGCCUGGCCAACAUGGUGAAACCCCGUCUCUA